UGUAGGGCAAUCUGUCUUUAAGUAGGGAUAAAUUACUCUUGAACAAAAUGAUCCUAGAUAAUUUUCCCUUCAAGUCAAGCAUCUUG
Molecule: microRNA precursor, 86 nt
Filed under: Mus caroli (Ryukyu mouse)
Lineage: Eukaryota; Metazoa; Chordata; Mammalia; Rodentia; Muridae
Description: microRNA 684-2 (MGP_CAROLIEiJ_G0007854.1)
Rfam family: mir-684 microRNA precursor family
Source: RNAcentral